Molecule: long non-coding RNA, 400 nt
Organism: Ochotona princeps (American pika)
Lineage: Eukaryota; Metazoa; Chordata; Mammalia; Lagomorpha; Ochotonidae
Exons: 3
Source: RefSeq, a predicted model, not a curated record
UGCCAGUAAAGAGAAGGUGAGCGUAGCAACAGCAUUUGAGCGUGCUACUCUCCUGAGCGUAUGCGCCACGUGCACCUGCAAUCAAGCUUUCGCGCAGUUUCAGCUGAAAUCUCUUCCAGCGCUGAAGUUCACCAGAAAGACGGGCACCAUCUCAGGUUUCCCCGGCAGGCUGGGCACCCACUAACAAAGUGAGCUUUGUGCACAUCUCAGUACUGUCUGUAACAGAGAAAAACUUUCUCAGAUUGCUUUGGAAUGAUGAAGAGUGUGUCUCUCAUCCAAGAAUUGAAAUGAUACCUUCAGGUGAUUAAUGUUAUUACACAAUGGAUUUAAAAACAUCUCAGGAAAUGGCCAUUGAAAGAUGUAUGGUGCACUAAUGGAGAUUGAAAGCAAGCAGUCUCUG